CCAGACUCCUACGGGAGGCAGCAGUGGGGAAUUUUGGACAAUGGGCGAAAGCCUGAUCCAGCAAUGCCGCGUGAGUGAAGAAGGCCUUCGGGUUGUAAAGCUCUUUUGUCAGGGAAGAAACGGUUGUCUCUAAUACAGAUGGCUAAUGACGGUACCUGAAGAAUAAGCACCGGCUAACUACGUGCCAGCAGCCGCGGUAAUACGUAGGGUGCAAGCGUUAAUCGGAAUUACUGGGCGUAAAGCGUGCGCAGGCGGUUAUGUAAGACAGAUGUGAAAUGCCCGGGCUUAACCUGGGAACUGCAUUUGUGACUGCAUGGCUAGAGUUUGGCAGAGGGGGGUAGAAUUCCACGUGUAGCAGUGAAAUGCGUAGAUAUGUGGAGGAACACCGAUGGCGAAGGCAGCCCCCUGGGUCAAGACUGACGCUCAUGCACGAAAGCGUGGGGAGCAAACAGGAUUAGAUACCCUGGUAGUCCACGCCCUAAACGAUGUCUACUAGUUGUCGGGUCUUAAUUGACUUGGUAACGCAGCUAACGCGUGAAGUAGACCGCCUGGGGAGUACGGUCGCAAGAUUAAAACUCAAAGGAAUUGACGGGGACCCGCACAAGCGGUGGAUGAUGUGGAUUAAUUCGAUGCAACGCGAAAAACCUUACCUACCCUUGACAUGGCUGGAAUCCCUGAGAGAUUGGGGAGUGCUCGAAAGAGAACCAGUACACAGGUGCUGCAUGGCUGUCGUCAGCUCGUG
This 742-nucleotide ribosomal RNA is filed under the name uncultured beta proteobacterium. RNAcentral's name for it is "bacterial SSU rRNA". It matches the Rfam family "Bacterial small subunit ribosomal RNA", at positions 331 to 1064 of the family's 1533-position model. Lineage: Bacteria; Pseudomonadati; Pseudomonadota; Betaproteobacteria. The record is from RNAcentral.